CUUCAUAUCCCUUUCUUUUACCUGAUACUUUGUCCUUUGUUCAUUGGCUUCUGGCAGUAGGUUUCAUCACACUAGUACGUGGUUCUAAGGAUGUGAUUUGUAAGGAGACUUGGGGAACAAAUGAUCAACAUAAGUUCGCAACAGGAUAAUCAUUGUUGAAGGGAAUCAGACAUCCAUAUGGAUCAAGACGGCUGUCAUUUUUGCGUGGCAGAGCAAGCUUUUGAGAGAAGGCUGCUGCCAGAUCGUUCUGCCCUAUGUCGAUAGCAUACAACGCAUUCUGGAAUCCCUCUCCAUCAGUGAGGCCCUUUGCACCUGUGACAUUCACCGAUGGCUAAUGAGUACACGCAUCGUCACACAGUUGG
Long non-coding RNA from Musa acuminata AAA Group (dessert banana), 362 nucleotides. RefSeq lists it as uncharacterized. The record is from RefSeq and is a predicted model, not a curated record. NCBI's taxonomy places the organism in Eukaryota, Viridiplantae, Streptophyta, Magnoliopsida, Zingiberales, Musaceae. The transcript is spliced from 3 exons.